CCCUGGAUGGCGGAAUUGGUAGACGCAAACGACUCAAACUCGUUCGGAGAAAUCCAUAUCGGUUCAAGUCCGAUUCUAGGGACCA
This 85-nucleotide transfer RNA is filed under the name Erysipelotrichaceae bacterium. RNAcentral describes it as "tRNA-Leu". It matches the Rfam family "tRNA". From Rfam's summary of the family: Transfer RNA (tRNA) molecules are approximately 80 nucleotides in length. Their secondary structure includes four short double-helical elements and three loops (D, anti-codon, and T loops). Further hydrogen bonds mediate the characteristic L-shaped molecular structure. tRNAs have two regions of fundamental functional importance: the anti-codon, which is responsible for specific mRNA codon recognition, and the 3' end, to which the tRNAs corresponding amino acid is attached (by aminoacyl-tRNA synthetases). tRNAs cope with the degeneracy of the genetic code in two manners: having more than one tRNA (with a specific anti-codon) for a particular amino acid; and 'wobble' base-pairing, i.e. permitting non-standard base-pairing at the 3rd anti-codon position. Lineage: Bacteria; Bacillati; Bacillota; Erysipelotrichia; Erysipelotrichales; Erysipelotrichaceae. The record is from RNAcentral. RNAcentral also lists the same sequence under 1 other name.